AGAGCGAACGCUGGCGGCAGGCCUAAUACAUGCAAGUCGAGCGGGUGUAGCAAUACACCAGCGGCAGACGGGAGAGUAACACGUGGGAACGUGCCCUUCAGUUCGGAACAACCCAGGGAAACUUGGGCUAAUACCGGAUACGUCCGUAAGGAGAAAGAUUUAUCGCUGAAGGAUCGGCCCGCGUCUGAUUAGCUUGUUGGUGGGGUAAUGGCUCACCAAGGCGACGAUCAGUAGCUGGUCUGAGAGGAUGAUCAGCCUCACUGGGACUGAGACACGGCCCAGACUCCUACGGGAGGCAGCAGUAGGGAAUAUUGGACAAUGGGCGCAAGCCUGAUCCAGCCAUGCCGCGUGGGUGAUGAAGGCCCUAGGGUUGUAAAGCUCUUUUGUGCGGGAAGAUAAUGACGGUACCGCAAGAAUAAGCCCCGGACUAACUUCGUGCCAGCAGCCGC
Molecule: ribosomal RNA, 449 nt
Filed under: uncultured bacterium
Lineage: Bacteria
Description: SSU rRNA
Rfam family: Bacterial small subunit ribosomal RNA
Source: RNAcentral